This 433-nucleotide ribosomal RNA is filed under the name uncultured bacterium. RNAcentral's name for it is "partial 16S ribosomal RNA". It matches the Rfam family "Bacterial small subunit ribosomal RNA", at positions 28 to 507 of the family's 1533-position model. The record is from RNAcentral.
GACGAACGCUGGCGGCAUGCCUAACACAUGCAAGUCGAACGAAACCUUCGGGCCUAGUGGCGCUCGGGUGCGUAACGCGUGGGAACCUGCCCUUAGGUUCGGAAUAACUCCCUGUAAGAGGUGCUCAUACCGGAUAAUGUCUUCGGACCAAGGAUCUAUCGCCUUUGGAUGGGCGCGCGUUGGAUUAGCCAGUUGGUAGUGUAAAAGCAUACCAAGGCGACGAUCCAUGGCUGGUCUGUGAGGAUGAUCAGCCACACUGGGACUGAGACACGGCCCAGACUGCGACGGGAGGCAGCAGUGUGGAAUAUUGGAGGAUGGACGAAAGUCUGAUCCAGCAACGCGGGGUGAGUGAGGAAGGGCUUAGGGUUGUAAAGCUGUUUUACCCGGGAUGAUAAUGACGGUACCGGGAGAAGAAGCUCCGGCUAACUCCGUG